CCUACGGGAGGCAGCAGUGGGGAAUAUUGCACAAUGGGGGAAACCCUGAUGCAGCGACGCCGCGUGAGUGAAGAAGUAAUUCGUUACGUAAAGCUCUAUCAGCAGGGAAGAAAAUGACGGUACCUGAGUAAGAAGCCCCGGCUAACUACGUGCCAGCAGCCGCGGUAAUACGUAGGGGGCAAGCGUUAUCCGGAUUUACUGGGUGGAAAGGGAGCGUAGACGGUGGGCCAAGUCUGGAGUGAAAUGCCGCAGCUUAACUGCGGAACUGCUUUUGAAACUGGCGAACUAGAGUGCGGGAGGGGGAAGCGGAAUGUCUGGGGUAGCGGUGAAAUGCGGAGAUAGUGGGAGGAACAGCGGUGGCGAAGGAGGCUUACUGGACCGUAACUGACGUUGAGGCUCGAAAGCGUGGGGAGCAUACAGGAUUAGAUACCCCAGUAGUC
RNAcentral lists this ribosomal RNA (440 nucleotides) under uncultured bacterium. Its description in RNAcentral is "partial 16S ribosomal RNA". It matches the Rfam family "Bacterial small subunit ribosomal RNA", at positions 338 to 795 of the family's 1533-position model. The record is from RNAcentral.